CAAGCCCCUGGUUCGCCUCGCUCACUAUAAAACCAGCGGGAAAGGAGUGAGGAAGACGAAAUCAAGGAGGCGGAAAGAAGAAGAGCUGAAAGAAGAAGAGCGGAAAGUAGUGAAUCGUGUGCCUUCAUUGCGAUCAAUGGCGGAGCAGUUGACGGAGGAGCAGAUCGCUUUUUUCAAGGAGGCAUUCAGCCUCUUCGACAAGGACGGAGACGGCUGCAUAACUACAAAAGAGUUAGGCACCAUUAUGAGAUCCUUAGGCCAAAACCCAAGUGAAGCUGAAUUGAGAGAUAUGAUCAGUGAAGUUGAUGCUGACCAAAAUGGAACAAUUGAUUUUCUUGAGUUCUUGAAUCUGAUGACACGUAAAACCAAGGAUGCUGAUUCCGAGGAGGAGCUGAUGGAGGCAUUCAAAGUGUUUGACAAGGACUCAAACGGGUUCAUUUCUGCUCAAGAGCUCCGCCAUGUGAUGGCAACCCUGGGCGAGAAAUUUACGGACGAGGAGGUCGACGAAAUGAUACGAGAAGCAGACAUCAACGGCGAUGGACAAGUCGACUAUCAGGAGUUUGUGCAGAUGAUGUUGGCCAAGUAAUACUCGCAUCAGUUUAUGGAGGCAGUCUACCAAAUUACCCCGGCUUGUUAGAAACUGUUAUGGGCCACAAUCAUGGCUAACCUGCCUUUUUUGGUCGAGUGCUUCACAUGAACAUUUUGGUCUUUAUUUCGAGACACAAAUGAGAGAUCAAUAAGUAUCUGAUCGAUCAGCUCAAUCCAGAUCCUUUGCCUCCUCCUCGUCCUCCAUCGCCUCGUCCCCGAUCUUGAUCACCUCCUCCACUCCUCCGUUCAUAGCCGCUCUGCCUCGGGCGGUGGCCUCUGAUGACGCCACCAGCGCUGCCGCCGC
This is an RNA transcript of Zingiber officinale, 892 nucleotides long. It is a transcript of the gene named calmodulin-like, with no coding region annotated. NCBI's taxonomy places the organism in Eukaryota, Viridiplantae, Streptophyta, Magnoliopsida, Zingiberales, Zingiberaceae. The record is from RefSeq and is a predicted model, not a curated record. The transcript is spliced from 5 exons.